This 253-nucleotide ribosomal RNA is filed under the name uncultured bacterium. Its description in RNAcentral is "partial 16S ribosomal RNA". It matches the Rfam family "Bacterial small subunit ribosomal RNA", at positions 524 to 776 of the family's 1533-position model. The record is from RNAcentral.
UACGAAGGGGGCUAGCGUUGUUCGGAAUUACUGGGCGUAAAGCGCGCGUAGGCGGCUUGGUAAGUCGGAUGUGAAAGCCCCGGGCUCAACCUGGGAACUGCAUUCGAUACUGCUGAGCUGGAGUACGAAAGAGGGGGGUGGAAUUCCAGGUGUAGCGGUGAAAUGAGUAGAGAUCUGGAGGAACACCAGUGGCGAAGGCGGCCCCCUGGUUCGAUACUGACGCUGAGGUGCGAAAGCGUGGGGAGCAAACAGG